UACGGGGGGGGCAAGCGUUGUUCGGAAUUACUGGGCGUAAAGGGUCUGUAGGUGGCUUGCUAAGUCAGACGUGAAAUCCCUCAGCUUAACUGGGGAACUGCGUCUGAGACUGGCGAGCUUGAGGGCAGGAGAGGAACGCGGAAUUCCAGGUGUAGCGGUGAAAUGCGUAGAGAUGUGGAGGAACACCGAUGGCGAAGGCAGCCCCCUGGGCUAACACUGACGCUCAUGCACGAAAGCGUGGGGAGCAAACAGG
Molecule: ribosomal RNA, 253 nt
Filed under: uncultured bacterium
Lineage: Bacteria
Description: partial 16S ribosomal RNA
Rfam family: Bacterial small subunit ribosomal RNA
Source: RNAcentral